AACGAACGCUGGCGGCAGGCUUAACACAUGCAAGUCGAGCGAGACCUUCGGGUCUAGCGGCGGACGGGUGAGUAACGCGUGGGAACGUGCCCUUCUCUACGGAAUAGCCCCGGGAAACUGGGAGUAAUACCGUAUACGCCCUUUGGGGGAAAGAUUUAUCGGAGAAGGAUCGGCCCGCGUUGGAUUAGGUAGUUGGUGGGGUAAUGGCCCACCAAGCCGACGAUCCAUAGCUGGUUUGAGAGGAUGAUCAGCCACACUGGGACUGAGACACGGCCCAGACUCCGACGGGAGGCAGCAGUGGGGAAUCUUAGACAAUGGGGGCAACCCUGAUCUAGCCAUGCCGCGUGAGUGAUGAAGGCCUUAGGGUUGUAAAGCUCUUUCAGCUGGGAAGAUAAUGACGGUACCAGCAGAAGAAGCCCCGGCUAACUCCGUG
This 433-nucleotide ribosomal RNA is filed under the name uncultured bacterium. Its description in RNAcentral is "partial 16S ribosomal RNA". It matches the Rfam family "Bacterial small subunit ribosomal RNA", at positions 29 to 507 of the family's 1533-position model. The record is from RNAcentral.